RNAcentral lists this ribosomal RNA (465 nucleotides) under uncultured bacterium. RNAcentral describes it as "partial 16S ribosomal RNA". It matches the Rfam family "Bacterial small subunit ribosomal RNA", at positions 339 to 795 of the family's 1533-position model. The record is from RNAcentral.
CUACGGGCUGCUCCAGUGGGGAAUAUUGCACAAUGGGCGCAAGCCUGAUGCAGCCAUGCCGCGUGUAUGAAGAAGGCCUUCGGGUUGUAAAGUACUUUCAGCGGGGAGGAAGGGAGUAAAGUUAAUACCUUUGCUCAUUGACGUUACCCGCAGAAGAAGCACCGGCUAAGUCCGUGCCAGCAGCCGCGGUGAAUACGGAGGGUGCAAGCGUUAAUCGGAAUUACUGGGCGUAAAGCGCACGCAGGCGGUUUGUUAAGUCAGAUGUGAAAUCCCCGGGCUCAACCUGGGAACUGCAUCUGAUACUGGCAAGCUUGAGUCUCGUAGAGGGGGGUAGAAUUCCAGGUGUAGCGGUGAAAUGCGUAGAGAUCUGGAGGAAUACCGGUGGCGAAGGCGGCCCCCUGGACGAAGACUGACGCUCAGGUGCGAAAGCGUGGGGAGCAAACAGGAUUAGAUACCCCUGUAGUC